Molecule: ribosomal RNA, 393 nt
Filed under: uncultured bacterium
Lineage: Bacteria
Description: partial 16S ribosomal RNA
Rfam family: Bacterial small subunit ribosomal RNA
Source: RNAcentral
AUACGGAGGAUGCGGGCGUUAUCCGGAUUUAUUGGGUUUAAAGGGUGCGUAGGCUGUGCGUUAAGUCAGGGGUGAAAUGCCGUCGCUCAACGACGGAGCUGCCCUUGAUACUGGCGUGCUGGAGUACGGAUGCCGUUGGAGGAAUGAGUGGUGUAGCGGUGAAAUGCUUAGAUAUCACUCAGAACACCGAUUGCGAAGGCAUCUGACGAAUCCGUCACUGACGCUGAGGCACGAAAGCGUGGGGAUAGAACAGGAUUAGAUACCCUGGUAUUCCACGCCGUAAACGAUGAUGACUAACCGUCGGCGAUAGACAGCCGGUGGCCAAGCGAAAGCGAUAAGUCAUCCACCUGGGGAGUACGUCGGCAACGAUGAAACUCAAAUGAAUUGACGGGG